AACCAGCUCUUCAAGUGGUCGGGACUAUUAUUGGGCUUAAAGUGUCCGUAGCCGGUUUAGUAAGUUCCUGGUUAAAUCGGAUGGCUUAACUAUCUAUCUGCUAGGAAUACUACUAUACUAGGGGGCGGGAGAGGUUUGAGGUACUCCAGGGGUAGGGGUGAAAUCCUAUAAUCCUUGGGGGACCACCAGUGGCGAAGGCGUCAGACUGGAACGCGCCCGACGGUGAGGGACGAAAGCCAGGGGAGCGAACCGG
Molecule: ribosomal RNA, 253 nt
Filed under: uncultured microorganism
Description: partial small subunit ribosomal RNA
Rfam family: Archaeal small subunit ribosomal RNA
Source: RNAcentral